UACGAACCGUGCGACCGUUGUUCGGAAUCACUGGGCUUAAAGGGCGCGUAGGCGGGCUGCCAAGUCCGGGGUGAAAUCUUUCGGCCCAACCGGAAAAGUGCCUUGGAUACUGGCGGCCUGGAGUGAGGCAGGGGCGGAUGGAACUUCCGGUGGAGCGGUGAAAUGCGUUGAUAUCGGAAGGAACGCCGGUGGCGAAAGCGAUCCGCUGGACCUCUUCUGACGCUGAGGCGCGAAAGCCAGGGGAGCAAACGGG
RNAcentral lists this ribosomal RNA (253 nucleotides) under uncultured bacterium. RNAcentral's name for it is "partial 16S ribosomal RNA". It matches the Rfam family "Bacterial small subunit ribosomal RNA", at positions 524 to 776 of the family's 1533-position model. The record is from RNAcentral.